CGGUUGUAUUUAUGUAAUUAUUACACCUGAGACAAUUGCCGUGCGUAACUGAAUAAGAUGUCACAUUGUAUGUGCAUAUAAAUGAAAAAAAAUAAAAAAGUAAGAACUACUGAAUAGUAGUAUCUCUUAUGUAUUGGCGUUAAUCAUGCUCACUUUCAAUUAUGAAGUCACGAAGCGAUUAACGCUUCGAUCAGGAAGGAGAAGGUUUCUGACAGGAAAGGUUUACAAGCAUUUGAUGAAUUUUGAAAAGUAAGAUUGGAUACAUAGAAAUGAGAAAAGCAUUGACGAUGGUUUGGAGGAAAUUGUAUUGUAAGGAUUGAAUACGUUGGAAGUUGGAAGGUUUGGUGUUGUAUAUGCAAAUGGUCUCCUCAGAAUUGUGAUAUCAACGAGGCAGUAAAUAAACUAAACUAGCGCGAGUGGGAUACGAAGUAGUAGAUGGGACAGUGGUGAUUCUGCUAAGGGUUUGCAGUUUCCGGUUGAGAUCUUGAUGAUUGGAAAGGAUGGCCGUAUCAUCCUCAUAGCUGGUAAGACUAAUUUCGGAAAGGAUAGGAAAGUCUGCGGUGUAUUCUGUGCUUGGGAUGGAUCCUUCUCAAUGAAGGAAGACUGAACAAGAUAUCACUAUGAAGGAGUGUUGCACCUGGGUACACUACAAGAACAAAUGGUAAACUCA
Molecule: long non-coding RNA, 670 nt
Organism: Cimex lectularius (bed bug)
Lineage: Eukaryota; Metazoa; Arthropoda; Insecta; Hemiptera; Cimicidae
Exons: 3
Source: RefSeq, a predicted model, not a curated record